Long non-coding RNA from Pantherophis guttatus, 734 nucleotides. RefSeq lists it as uncharacterized. NCBI's taxonomy places the organism in Eukaryota, Metazoa, Chordata, Lepidosauria, Squamata, Colubridae. The record is from RefSeq and is a predicted model, not a curated record.
GUGCAUCAGCCAGAGGCUCACAGUUGAGCCCACUGGAGAAUUGGUGGUAAUGGAGAGAGAUUUAGAGACUUAAAAACAACAGUAGGAUGACACAGACCCAACUAGCGAGACAAUUCCAAGAAAAAAUAUAUGAUGGAACAGAAGUUUUGAUGUCAUGUAUUGACAAACGCCUGCAACAAUAGCUAUAUAUUACCACCAAGAUCAGAGACCUGGCACCAAUGAAUAACAGUUGUUGAGGGACAGCAUCAAGAAAGGUCCCAUGUCCUGCCAGACCAGCCUACUGAGCAAGUAACAUGGAAUGUAUUCGACUCUCCACUGGGGCAACAGCAGCUGCCAGCCUUGUGUUUCUUUUGGGGCUAAAUCCCUCCCCACCCCACCCCACCCAAGAUUUUUCAACCUGCCUUCUCUCCCCCACAUUGAUACAGUGCUGGGUUUGGGGGAGGGGAGGGGCAGGAUGAGAAAUUUUUUAACAGCGCAAAACUGAUGUGGAGUUUGAACAUAAGGCAACGAUCCAUUUGCGGAACGCAAACUGUAAUGCUCAAAGAGUGACAUGGAUUUUCAAGGUGAGGGGCAGUGCUGGCCCUGAAAAUGAAACAAGAGGGUUUGGGGAAAGAGACCCAAGUUAAAGACCUGUCAAGAAGGUUCAAAUGAAUAACCGUGUUUGAUUUAAGAUUUUACAGUGACUGACUUCCAAAACUUUAGGCUUCAUAUUAAAAGACAAGAAAGUGGACUGA